GAAUUCAGAGAACACACACACACACAUGGUCUCUUCUCCCAGCCCCAGCCACACCACCCCUCACACAGCUCCUGAACUACAAGAAGGCUUUUCACCAGCACUGCACCAAGAACUCUUCACGGGGAUGAUUCAAACCAAGGCUCCAUCAUUUCUGAAUCUGUGUGACUUUGGGUGCCCUCCAUAACCAUUCUGUGCCUUCAUUUCCUCAUCUAUAACCAGGAAUCCUAACUCAUGGGGAAUGUGAGGAUUAAAUGAGUCAACUCACCUUACAGUACCUGGCCCACAGCAGACACCCUGCUUGGUAAUGUUGGCCGUCAUCCUUCUCAGGACCACCCAACAAAGGCGUCCCUAGGGUAAACACGGCAGGACGCUUCUUCUUCCUCACCCAGGGACUUGCCACACUGCAGAGGGCUGCCCAGGCAGGACUGGAGAAGGUGGGCGGUCUGGUCCUUCAUGCAGUCGUGGUUGAGCCCGGAGUAGCGCCGUGAACUUCUGCUCCCCUUCCUACCCCGCCAGCUCUCCUGACAAAGCUCCAGUGUGGCUGCGCUCCACCUCCUCAUGGAGCCACAUUGGAAUCACCUGGAAGCUUGACCAUUUAUUUGAGCCAGGUUUCUUACCCACCCAGAUUCUGAUUUAACAAAUCAGAGUUCUGACCCAACAUCAGGAUUUUUUUUUUUUUUUAAUCUCUCCAGGUGAUUCUCAUGUGCAGCCAAGACUGAGAACCUCAUGAAGACAGAUAAGCAGGGCUACUCCCGAGGGUGAGUGCUCAGCUUUUAUUGGAAGCAGGCUUGGCCUGAGUGCAUCUGAAUUCAUCCUUCCUGGUGCCCAAACCAGCCCAGAGAAUUCCUGUGGCUGGAGUGACCCAUACAGACAAUGUUAUAGAAAGGAUGCCAGCAACUAACGGGGCACAGAACUACAGGAGUGGGCAGGCUGUAAGGGCUCCCUAACUGAGAAUGCCGUGUCUCCAUGCAACACCCUGGGUCUGCCUCUAAUGCCUGGAGUCUUUCCUGUUCCAAGAACCAGCAAGGCUGUGGUCAUGUGAAAAGCAUUCUUGGGGGUUGUGUGUGCACAGCCAACAUGACUGCACACAAGGGCCUCGACCAAAGGCAGUACACACAAUGUCUGGCAUCUCUCAGGACAGUGAUCCAAAACACGUGUUUGGCCAAGGCUCAGGAAGACCCCACACUAAUAGGCCCCACCACGCCAUCAGCCAGGAGGGAAGCCUGCCUGUCCCCGUCCUCACCGAAGGAUGGUCACCAACAGGAGAAGCUGCUCUAGAAGCACGGGAGGAAGACGCUCAGCCCAGAUCCACUCCAGAUCCCACAAAUAGGCUUGAGCAGGCUUGGGCAAAGCGUGGAUUAUGAACCUCCCAGGUGGACGGCAGCGAAGGUCUCCUGCCGAGGCCUCACUGGGAGCGCCACUUCACACCUCCCCUGUCACCUGCUGCCCAAAGGCCCUUUUCCCCCUCACAGGGGAAUAAAGCACUGCCAGCCUUUUAACCCCAGGUCUGCAUUAUCUCCCUAAUCCCCACAUCUCAGCAUUUCUCCGGUGCACCUCCUACAGGGCUGAGCAAGCCCACUUCACGCCCUCGACUGGCCGCCAGCAAGCACAGGCAAGCACCCACGGAGGCCUGAAAGCGUCUCCGUUUGUGUUUACAUAUUGGCUCAUUCCAAUCCACCAGGCAACCAACAUUUCCUGAGGGCCUACUGUGUGCCAGACUCUGAUGAGAGUACACAGCACUGUGAAAUACAAGAUUACUGCCUCAGCGGAUCAACAAGAUUUCAUCUCAUGAAAACACAGCCACACACGCUGUUAGGG
This is a long non-coding RNA of Bos taurus (domestic cattle), 1818 nucleotides long. The record is from Ensembl. NCBI's taxonomy places the organism in Eukaryota, Metazoa, Chordata, Mammalia, Artiodactyla, Bovidae.